Clupea harengus (Atlantic herring) is the source of this 786-nucleotide long non-coding RNA. The record is from Ensembl. NCBI's taxonomy places the organism in Eukaryota, Metazoa, Chordata, Actinopteri, Clupeiformes, Clupeidae.
GGCUAAAGGUGGGUUUGUGGAGCUACACGCACACAACAUACAUACUGUGCGUCUGGCAUCAGUCUUAACGGGAGCAGAAUGAUUAGCAUGUUAGCACUGAGAAAGUGUGAGAGGAAAAGACAGCCUUGUUUGCAUUAGGUUUUGGUUGCAAUCCAACACCAAAGCUUGUGCCCAGAUCAACACAGUGCCAAAACUCAGUAGCCCAAAAGCAAAGUCACUCUGACACCGCAAGACUAGGUUAAGUGCAAAGGGCAAUCAUAGACAUCCAGGAUAACAGCCACUGAGCUAACAUAUGGAAAUAAGGGACGAGCUGGAGGCAAAUAAUGGCCAAAUACAGCAUUUGCAUGUUCCUGUAGAGUGAGGUAAAGCCAUGGAACUGACCCAUCCCCAGGGCCCAAACAGAGACCAUGUGGAUUAGGCUAACAGGGAACAGGUAUGGGUCAGGGCAAUCCCCUUGUUUUGAAAUCCAACUUCACAAAUUGACAGUAAACUCCUCCUUGGGCCUUUUCACUAUUUCAUCAUACUGGCCACACCAUUCACGUGCCAUCACUAGUCACUAGCUUCAAUCCACAACUGGAACAUAGACUAAUGGAACCGAACUCCAAAAGGAGGAGAGGUAAGAAUGACACCCAUGGCUUGUGAAGGAGGAGAGGUAAGAAUGACACCCAUGGCUUGUGAAGGAGGAGAGGUAAGAAUGACACCCAUGGCUUGUGAAGGAGGAGAGGUAAGAAUGACACCCAUGGCUUGUGAAGGAGGAGAGGUAAGAAUGACACCCAUGGCUUGUGA